RNAcentral lists this transfer RNA (74 nucleotides) under Microlunatus sp. RNAcentral's name for it is "tRNA-Leu". It matches the Rfam family "tRNA". Rfam says of the family: Transfer RNA (tRNA) molecules are approximately 80 nucleotides in length. Their secondary structure includes four short double-helical elements and three loops (D, anti-codon, and T loops). The record is from RNAcentral. Lineage: Bacteria; Bacillati; Actinomycetota; Actinomycetes; Propionibacteriales; Propionibacteriaceae.
GCCCCCGUAGCCCAACCGGCAGAGGCAGGCGGCUUAAACCCGCCCAAGUGUGGGUUCGAGUCCCACCGGGGGCA